Molecule: ribosomal RNA, 495 nt
Filed under: uncultured bacterium
Lineage: Bacteria
Description: partial 16S ribosomal RNA
Rfam family: Bacterial small subunit ribosomal RNA
Source: RNAcentral
GACGAACGCUGGCGGCGCGCUUAACACAUGCAAGUCGAACGGAAAGGCCUGCUUUCCCUUGUGGAUUGCGGGUACUCGAGUGGCGAACGGGUGAGUAACACGUGAGUGAUCUGCCCCCAACUUGGGUAUAAGCCUGGGAAACUGGGUCUAAUUCCCGAUAGGACUGCAGGGUGGUGCCUGUGGUGGAAAACGAUUUUCUAGUGGUUGGGGAUGAGCUCGCGGCCUAUCAGCUUGUUGGUGGGGUAAUGGCCUACCAAGGCGGCGACGGGUAGCCGGCCUGAGAGGGUGGACGGCCACAUUGGGACUGAGAUACGGCCCAGACUCCUACGGGAGGCAGCAGUGGGGAAUAUUGCACAAUGGGCGGAAGCCUGAUGCAGCGACGCCGCGUGGGGGAUGACGGCCUUCGGGUUGUAAACUCCUUUCGACAGCGAGGAAGCCACCUGGUUGGAAGGGUGGUGACGGUAGUGGUAGAAGAAGCACCGGCUAACUACGUGC